RNAcentral lists this ribosomal RNA (483 nucleotides) under uncultured bacterium. RNAcentral's name for it is "partial 16S ribosomal RNA". It matches the Rfam family "Bacterial small subunit ribosomal RNA", at positions 30 to 506 of the family's 1533-position model. The record is from RNAcentral.
AUUGAACGCUGGCGGCAGGCCUAACACAUGCAAGUCGAGCGGCUGAAGGGAGCUUGCCCCUGGAUUCAGCGGCGGACGGGUGAGUAAUGCCUAGGAAUCUGCCUGGUAGUGGGGGAUAACGUCCGGCAACGGGCGCUAAUACCGCACACGCCCUGAGGGAGAAAGUGGGGGAUCUUCGCACCCCACGCUAUCAGAUGUGCCGAGGUCGGAUUAGCUAGUUGGGGGGGUAAAGGCCUACCAAGGCGACGAUCCGUAUCUGGUCUGAGAGGACGAUCAGUCACACUGGAACUGAGACACGGUCCAGACUCCUACGGGAGGCAGCAGUGGGGAAUUUUGGACAAUGGGCGAAAGCCUGAUCCAGCCAUGCCGCGUGUGUGAAGAAGGUCUUCGGAUUGUAAAGCACUUUUAGUUGGGAGGAAGGGCAUGAAGUUAAGACCGUGCUGUUUUGACGUUACCAAAAGAAUAAGCACCGGCUAACUACGU